This 28-nucleotide non-coding RNA is filed under the name Mus musculus (house mouse). The record is from RNAcentral. Lineage: Eukaryota; Metazoa; Chordata; Mammalia; Rodentia; Muridae.
UGGAAGCCAAAUGUUGCUAGAAAUGCUC